This 843-nucleotide ribosomal RNA is filed under the name uncultured bacterium. Its description in RNAcentral is "SSU rRNA". It matches the Rfam family "Bacterial small subunit ribosomal RNA", at positions 524 to 1381 of the family's 1533-position model. The record is from RNAcentral.
CACGUAGGAUCCGAGCGUUAUCCGAAUUUACUGGGCGUAAAGCGCGUGUAGGCGGCUGGGUAAGUUGGACGUGAAAUCUCCCGGCUCAACUGGGAGGGGUCGUUCAAGACUGCCUGGCUAGAGGGCGGUAGAGGGAGGUGGAAUUCCCGGUGUAGUGGUGAAAUGCGUAGAUAUCGGGAGGAACACCAGUGGCGAAAGCGGCCUCCUGGACCGCCCCUGACGCUCAGACGCGAAAGCUAGGGGAGCAAACGGGAUUAGAUACCCCGGUAGUCCUAGCCGUAAACGAUGUGGACUAGGCGUCGGUGGGGUAAAACCCAUCGGUGCCGAAGCUAACGCGAUAAGUCCACCGCCUGGGGACUACGGCCGCAAGGUUAAAACUCAAAGGAAUUGGCGGGGGCCCGCACAAGCAGCGGAGCGUGUGGUUUAAUUCGAUGCUACACGAAGAACCUUACCCGGGUUUGACAUCCAGGUAGUAGGGAACUGAAAGGGGACCGACCCUUCGGGGAGCCUGGACAGGUGCUGCAUGGCUGUCGUCAGCUCGUGUCGUGAGAUGUCCGGUUAAGUCCGGUAACGAGCGCAACCCUUGCUGGAUGUUACAAGUGUCAUCCAGGACUGCCGGUAUAGUACCGGAGGAAGGCGGGGAUGACGUCAAGUCAGCAUGGCCUUUAUAUCCGGGGCUACACACGCUACAAUGGCCAGUACAAUGGGUUGCAAAGCCGCGAGGUAGAGCCAAUCCCCAAAACUGGUCUCAGUUCGGAUUGCAGGCUGCAACUCGCCUGCAUGAAGUCGGAGUUGCUAGUAACCGCGCGUCAGCUAUAGUGCGGUGAAUACGUUCCCGGGCCU